This 66-nucleotide transfer RNA is filed under the name Stylochus stellae. RNAcentral's name for it is "tRNA-Tyr". It matches the Rfam family "tRNA". Rfam says of the family: Transfer RNA (tRNA) molecules are approximately 80 nucleotides in length. Their secondary structure includes four short double-helical elements and three loops (D, anti-codon, and T loops). The record is from RNAcentral. Lineage: Eukaryota; Metazoa; Platyhelminthes; Polycladida; Stylochidae.
AACGGAGUAGUCUAAUUUUAGGGCAUUGGGUUGUAGCCCCAAAAGUGAAGUAAAUUUCCUCCGUGA